CCUACGGGGGGCAGCAGGCGCGAAACCUCCGCAAUGUGAGAAAUCGCGACGGGGGGAUCCCAAGUGCCAUUCUUAACGGGAUGGCUUUUCUUUAGUGUAAAAAGCUUUUGGAAUAAGAGCUGGGCAAGACCGGUGCCAGCCGCCGCGGUAACACCGGCAGCUCUAGUGGUAGCAAUUUUUAUUGGGCCUAAAGCGUCCGUAGCCGGUUUAAUAAGUCUCUGGUGAAAUCCUGUAGCUUAACUGUGGGAAUUGCUGGAGAUACUAUUAGACUUGAGACCGGGAGAGGUUAGAGGUACUCCCAGGGUAGAGGUGAAAUUCUGUAAUCCUGGGAGGACCGCCUGUUGCGAAGGCGUCUAACUGGAACGGUUCUGACGGUGAGGGACGAAAGUUAGGGGCGCGAACCGGAUUAGAUACCCGCGUAGUCC
This 425-nucleotide ribosomal RNA is filed under the name uncultured Methanobrevibacter sp. RNAcentral's name for it is "bacterial SSU rRNA". It matches the Rfam family "Archaeal small subunit ribosomal RNA", at positions 322 to 747 of the family's 1478-position model. The record is from RNAcentral. Lineage: Archaea; Methanobacteriati; Methanobacteriota; Methanobacteria; Methanobacteriales; Methanobacteriaceae.